GAGCGAUGAAGCACCUUCGGGUGUGAAUUAGCGGCGAACGGGUGAGGAACACGUGAGAAAUCUGCCUUCAACACUGGGAUAACUCCGGGAAACCGGGGCUAAUACCGGAUAUGAAAUCUGCGGGCAUCCGCGGAUUUGGAAAGUUUUUCGGUUGAAGAUGAUCUCGCGGCCUAUCAGCUUGUUGGUGAGGUAAUGGCUCACCAAGGCGACGACGGGUAGCCGGCCUGAGAGGGCGACCGGCCACACUGGGACUGAGACACGGCCCAGACUCCUACGGGAGGCAGCAGUGGGGAAUAUUGGGCAAUGGAGGAAACUCUGACCCAGCGACGCCGCGUGCGGGAUGAAGGCCUUCGGGUUGUAAACCGCUUUCAGCAGGGAAGAAGCGAAAGUGACGGUACCUGCAGAAGAAGCACCGGCUAACUAUGUGCCAGCAGCCGCGGUAAUACAUAGGGUGCAAGCGUUGUCCGGAAUUAUUGGGCGUAAAGAGCUCGUAGGUGGUUCGUCACGUCGGAUGUGAAACUCUGGGGCUUAACCCCAGACCUGCAUUCGAUACGGGCGAGCUUGAGUAUGGUAGGGGAGUCUGGAAUUCCUGGUGUAGCGGUGGAAUGCGCAGAUAUCAGGAGGAACACCAAUGGCGAAGGCAGGACUCUGGGCCAUUACUGACACUGAGGAGCGAAAGCGUGGGGAGCGAACAGGAUUAGAUACCCUGGUAGUCCACGCCGUAA
RNAcentral lists this ribosomal RNA (725 nucleotides) under uncultured Actinomycetes bacterium. Its description in RNAcentral is "bacterial SSU rRNA". It matches the Rfam family "Bacterial small subunit ribosomal RNA", at positions 64 to 805 of the family's 1533-position model. Lineage: Bacteria; Bacillati; Actinomycetota; Actinomycetes. The record is from RNAcentral.